CCGAACCGACUAAUGUUGAAAAAUUAGCGGAUGACCUGUGGCUGGGGGUGAAAGGCCAAUCAAACCGGGAGAUAGCUGGUUCUCCCCGAAAGCUAUUUAGGUAGCGCCUCGUGAAUUCAUCUCCGGGGGUAGAGCACUGUUUCGGCUAGGGGGCCAUCCCGGCUUACCAACCCGAUGCAAACUGCGAAUACCGGAGAAUGUUAUCACGGGAGACACACGGCGGGUGCUAACGUCCGUCGUGAAGAGGGAAACAACCCAGACCGCCAGCUAAGGUCCCAAAGUCAUGGUUAAGUGGGAAACGAUGUGGGAAGGCCCAGACAGCCAGGAUGUUGGCUUAGAAGCAGCCAUCAUUUAAAGAAAGCGUAAUAGCUCACUGGUCGAGUCGGCCUGCGCGGAAGAUGUAACGGGGCUAAACCAUGCACCGAAGCUGCGGCAGCGACACUGU
Molecule: ribosomal RNA, 445 nt
Filed under: Salmonella enterica
Lineage: Bacteria; Pseudomonadati; Pseudomonadota; Gammaproteobacteria; Enterobacterales; Enterobacteriaceae
Also listed under: 1 other name
Description: partial 23S ribosomal RNA
Rfam family: Bacterial large subunit ribosomal RNA
Source: RNAcentral